This 579-nucleotide ribosomal RNA is filed under the name uncultured Methanobacteriales archaeon. RNAcentral describes it as "bacterial SSU rRNA". It matches the Rfam family "Archaeal small subunit ribosomal RNA", at positions 344 to 922 of the family's 1478-position model. The record is from RNAcentral. Lineage: Archaea; Methanobacteriati; Methanobacteriota; Methanobacteria; Methanobacteriales.
AAACCUCCGCAAUGCACGCAAGUGCGACGGGGGAACCCCAAGUGCCACUCUUAACGGGGUGGCUUUUCAGAAGUGUAAAAAGCUUCUGGAAUAAGGGCUGGGCAAGACCGGUGCCAGCCGCCGCGGUAACACCGGCAGCUUAAGUGGUAGCCGCUUUUAUUGGGCCUAAAGCGUCCGUAGCCGGUCUGAUAAGUCUCUGGUGAAAUCCCGCAGCUUAACUGUGGGAAUUGCUGGAGAUACUAUCAUGACUCGAGGUCGGGAGAGGCUGGAGGUACUCCCAGGGUAGGGGUGAAAUCCUGUAAUCCUGGGAGGACCACCUGUGGCGAAGGCGUCCAGCUGGAACGAACCUGACGGUGAGGGACGAAAGCCAGGGGCGCGAACCGGAUUAGAUACCCGGGUAGUCCUGGCCGUAAACGAUGUGGACUUGGUGUUGGGAUGGCUUCGAGCUGCCCCAGUGCCGAAGGGAAGCUGUUAAGUCCACCGCCUGGGAAGUACGGCCGCAAGGCUGAAACUUAAAGGAAUUGGCGGGGGAGCACCACAACGCGUGGAGCCUGCGGUUUAAUUGGAUUCAACGCCGGA